UACGUAGGGUGCGAGCGUUAAUCGGAAUUACUGGGCGUAAAGCGUGCGCAGGCGGGCUUUUAAGCCAGACGUGAAAUCCCCGGGCUUAACCUGGGAAUGGCAAUGGAAACUAUGGGACUUGAAUCUGGCAGAGGGGGGUGGAAUGCCACGUGUAGCAGUGAAAUGCGUAGAGAUGUGGCGGAACACCGAUGGCGAAGGCAGCCCCCUGGGCUGAGAUUGACGCUCAGGCACGAAAGCGUGGGGAGCAAACAGG
Molecule: ribosomal RNA, 253 nt
Filed under: uncultured prokaryote
Description: partial 16S ribosomal RNA
Rfam family: Bacterial small subunit ribosomal RNA
Source: RNAcentral